CCUGACAGUUGAACUCUGGAUGACUGACAGCUGUCCUUCAUCACAACAGAAGACACAGAAAUCCUCCUCAUCAAAAACAUGACUUUGAUCUGCGUCCUCAUCUGGACUCUCCUCUGCUUCACUCAGGGAUCUGAUGGACAAAAUGUUGUUGUGACUCAACCAGCAGCCAAAUCAGUGCAGCUUGGUCAGACAGUCACUAUUGACUGUAAGGCCAGUAGACAAGUAACUCUGUGUAGUUACCCAUCAGGGUACUGCCUGUCCUGGUACCACCAGAAACCUGGAGAAACUCAUAAAGCUCUGAUCUAUUUAACAUCAACCAGAUUUUCAGGAAUCUCCUCCAGAUUCAGUGGAAGUGGAGCAGGAAAUGAAUUAGACUUCACUCUGACCAUCAGUGGAGUUCAGGCUGAAGAUGCAGGAGUUUAUUACUGUCAGAGUUAUCAUAGUAGUGACGUGUUCACACAGUGAAAAAUCAUCGUACA
Non-coding RNA from Gambusia affinis (western mosquitofish), 479 nucleotides. NCBI's taxonomy places the organism in Eukaryota, Metazoa, Chordata, Actinopteri, Cyprinodontiformes, Poeciliidae. The record is from the annotation of a RefSeq genome assembly.